UCAAGAAUUACAACGCACUCUCCCUUAAAAAUACAGUUAGCCAAAUGAAUGACCCUCAUUUAAUAACUUCAAUAAAAUCAGAGGGCACCAUAAACACAAUUUUCCAAAAAGAAAAUAUUGUUCAAAAUCCUUGAACCUCCCAACUUCACUCAGGUGGAUCUACACACCAACCAUUGUUUCUCACCACAACCUCGGCGAAAUUCGGCAGCUCCUCCACUCAAUAUUUGUUCUCGUUAUAAUCGAAGCCCCACAAGGUUGUUGUUCCUACUGCAAAAUUUGAACCCACAAGCACCAAAACGACUCGUAGCUUGCUUCCCAUCAAUACAAGUGCUGAUAACUGAUUAGUACGUUUGGGUAUCUAUGAGUCUCCUAAUAAUCGUGCGUGCAUCUCCUUCAAUCUUCACCAAUUGGAAACCUAUGUCUUCAGCAAAUUAAAUGGCCGAGACGCAAGCGAGGGCUUCAAUUGAAAAAGCUUCAGGUGUGCUCUUGCUCAUCAUUACUGUCGGUCCUAAUAUUAAGUCAUCACUAUUUCAGAUAACAAUAGUUGAUCUUGAUUGUUCUAAUUUGCCUUUAAACCCCGCACCAAAGUUUACUUAACAAAUGAGGUUGAGGAGAGAGACUGACACCCAUGCAACUGACAAGAUUGGGAAGGUAUGUUACCAUCUAGCAUUUUUAAUUCCUCUGCUAAAGAUUUUAUUCUGCUUAAAACAUUAGUAAUAAUAAUUCGUUAAUUCUCAUGAAUCAAUUUGUUACAAAAAUACCAUAUGCUCUCAAUUACCACAAUCAUACAACUGACUUCAUAAUAAGCAUUAUUAAAAACAUGAACCAUCAAAUCCUAAAAUUAUCUGAAUUGUUCGAUGUAGGCCAAGAAAUUUCUAAUAGUUGACAUACCUACAAGAUGGGCAAAUUAGUGAAACUACAAUCCUCUUAUUGUACAAGUUCUCAAAAAAAAAAAUUGUUAGAAACUUGUACUCGCCAUAAUUUUUUGUAAAAGAACUUGUAUUCAGUUGCAUAAUUAGGGGCCAUAGAGCUGCCAAGUAAAAGCUUAUAACCACUAUGUAGAAUAUAUUCAUCAAUAUUUCUAACCUUCCAAAUCAACAUACCCUUUUAAACUAAGUAAAACACUCAUUAUCCUCUCCGCUACAAUGUUACUAAACAAAUGAUUGAUGAGAUAAGCUUUCCAAAUCUUAUUUUCAUGAUCAAUAAAAGCAGAUACCAUAGAAACAUUACCACUAACUUCAGUAUCUCGUAUUUUGCAAACAAUCGAUCCUAAAGGCCAAUUGUCCGUCCAAAUGAAAAUAUUUUGCCACAAUCCUACCUUCCAACGGAGCCCCGAUUCCAACAAACAAGUCAUGGAAAUCAACAAUAUAUAUGUAACUUACACGCAUUAUAUAUAUAUAUAUAUACAUCUUAUCUUAAAUAUAAAUGCAUAACGGUUGUAGUAGCUAAGGCUGCCGCGAGUAAAAAUGGCUUGUCAUUGACAUGAAUAUAACUUGGUGGCGUGUAUUUGGAUAAUUUUCAAUGAGGUGUUC
RNAcentral lists this long non-coding RNA (1532 nucleotides) under Gossypium barbadense (sea-island cotton). Its description in RNAcentral is "long non-coding RNA (GBAR_LNC011765)". The record is from RNAcentral. Lineage: Eukaryota; Viridiplantae; Streptophyta; Magnoliopsida; Malvales; Malvaceae.